Myotis lucifugus (little brown bat) is the source of this 76-nucleotide non-coding RNA. Lineage: Eukaryota; Metazoa; Chordata; Mammalia; Chiroptera; Vespertilionidae. The record is from Rfam.
GAGACACCCUUAUGGGAUAGGACUUGCUUCAGUGGGGCUUUGGUGCUCACUGAGUCUGCUUCUUGAGUGUGUCUCU